AGUCGACGAUGAUGCCCAGCUUGCUGGGUGGAUUAGUGGCGAACGGGUGAGUAACACGUGUAGUAACCUGCCCCUGACUCUGGGAUAAGCGUUGGAAACGACGUCUAAUACUGGAUAUGAUCACUGGCCGCAUGGUCUGGUGGUGGAAAGAUUUUUUGGUUGGGGAUGGACUCGCGGCCUAUCAGCUUGUUGGUGAGGUAAUGGCUCACCAAGGCGACGACGGGUAGCCGGCCUGAGAGGGUGACCGGCCACACUGGGACUGAGACACGGCCCAGACUCCUACGGGAGGCAGCAGUGGGGAAUAUUGCACAAUGGGCGAAAGCCUGAUGCAGCAACGCCGCGUGAGGGAUGACGGCCUUCGGGUUGUAAACCUCUUUUAGUAGGGAAGAAGCGAAAGUGACGGUACCUGCAGAAAAAGCACCGGCUAACUACGUGCCAGCAGCCGCGGUAAUACGUAGGGUGCAAGCGUUGUCCGGAAUUAUUGGGCGUAAAGAGCUCGU
Molecule: ribosomal RNA, 500 nt
Filed under: Curtobacterium flaccumfaciens
Lineage: Bacteria; Bacillati; Actinomycetota; Actinomycetes; Micrococcales; Microbacteriaceae
Description: bacterial SSU rRNA
Rfam family: Bacterial small subunit ribosomal RNA
Source: RNAcentral